Molecule: ribosomal RNA, 492 nt
Filed under: uncultured bacterium
Lineage: Bacteria
Description: partial 16S ribosomal RNA
Rfam family: Bacterial small subunit ribosomal RNA
Source: RNAcentral
AGUGAACGCUGGCGGUAGGCCUAACACAUGCAAGUCGAACGGCAGCACAGUAAGAGCUUGCUCUUACGGGUGGCGAGUGGCGGACGGGUGAGGAAUACAUCGGAAUCUACUUUUUCGUGGGGGAUAACGUAGGGAAACUUACGCUAAUACCGCAUACGACCUACGGGUGAAAGCAGGGGAUCUUCGGACCUUGCGCGAUUGAAUGAGCCGAUGUCGGAUUAGCUAGUUGGCGGGGUAAAGGCCCACCAAGGCGACGAUCCGUAGCUGGUCUGAGAGGAUGAUCAGCCACACUGGAACUGAGACACGGUCCAGACGCCUACGGGAGGCAGCAGUGGGGAAUAUUGGACAAUGGGCGCAAGCCUGAUCCAGCCAUACCGCGUGGGUGAAGGAGGCCUUCGGGUUGUAAAGCCCUUUUGUUGGGAAAGAAAAGCAGCAGGUUAAUACCCCGCUGUUCUGACGGUACCCAAAGAAUAAGCACCGGCUAACUUCGUG